GCGCUCAUCGUUCAAAGGAUAGGACAGUGGCCUUCUAAGCCUCUGAUAUAGGUUCGAAUCCUAUUGGGCGUA
Molecule: non-coding RNA, 72 nt
Organism: Klebsormidium nitens
Lineage: Eukaryota; Viridiplantae; Streptophyta; Klebsormidiophyceae; Klebsormidiales; Klebsormidiaceae
Source: Rfam